UGAUGAUAAAUUUCGCAAGUGCACGAAAAUCACGUAGUAAUAAAAUAUCGAUCCACAGGGAUUGUGUGAUCAAACUAGUCGAAUCGUGUUCAUAGACAUUAUACAGAAAAUACACAUAAAUUGGGGGUAUGUUGAGUAAUGAAUUGCUAGAAAAUGUGCUUUGAUAAUAUGGAAAGGCGAGGUAGAAUCAUCGGAAUCAUCUAGUCUAUAGCUAACCGCAUGCAACCUACAAUGUAUAAGAACUACUCAAGUAUUCACAACUAGAUCGACA
This 271-nucleotide long non-coding RNA is filed under the name Trifolium pratense (red clover). Its description in RNAcentral is "long non-coding RNA (TPRA_LNC012688)". The record is from RNAcentral. Lineage: Eukaryota; Viridiplantae; Streptophyta; Magnoliopsida; Fabales; Fabaceae.